UACGUAGGGAGCGAGCGUUGUUCGGAAUUAUUGGGCGUAAAGGGCGCGUAGGCGGUCUUGUAAGUCAGAUGUGAAAUCCCCCGGCUUAACCUGGGAACUGCGUCUGAUACUGGAGGGCUUGAGUGCGGGAGAGGGAAGUGGAAUUCCAGGUGUAGCGGUGAAAUGCGUAGAUAUCAGGAGGAACACCAAUGGCGAAGGCAGCUCGCUGGGACGUGACUGACGCUGAGACGCGAAAGCGUGGGGAGCGAACAGG
RNAcentral lists this ribosomal RNA (253 nucleotides) under uncultured bacterium. RNAcentral's name for it is "partial 16S ribosomal RNA". It matches the Rfam family "Bacterial small subunit ribosomal RNA", at positions 524 to 776 of the family's 1533-position model. The record is from RNAcentral.